UCCUUCCUAACAUUUUCUCUCUGGUUGACAGGAAGCGUCGCCACAGUGGUUCGCCCAGUCCGACGCGGAACAGCAGACGAGGUCGAUCAGCUUCUCCCCGUUCAGAACGAUCGGAAAGAUCUGAACGCUCCGAGCGCUCGUACUCUAAAGACACGUCGUCCCGGUCCACCCAUAAAGACUCGCCACGAUCCAGCAUCAAGAAGUCCACAAAGAGAUCUCCCUCACCUCGCACACCCAAACGAUCCAGACGGUCGCGCUCAAAGACGCCCAAAAAAUCCACCAAGAAGUCCCGCUCCAAAUCUAGGUCCCCUCACCGGUCCCAC
Molecule: long non-coding RNA, 323 nt
Organism: Notothenia coriiceps (black rockcod)
Lineage: Eukaryota; Metazoa; Chordata; Actinopteri; Perciformes; Nototheniidae
Exons: 2
Source: RefSeq, a predicted model, not a curated record